GACGAACGCUGGCGGCGUGCUUAACACAUGCAAGUCGAACGGUAAGGCCCUUCGGGGUACACGAGUGGCGAACGGGUGAGUAACACGUGGGUGAUCUGCCCUGCACUUCGGGAUAAGCCUGGGAAACUGGGUCUAAUACCGGAUAGGACUCCGGACUGCAUGGUCUGGGGUGGAAAGCUUUUGCGGUGUGGGAUGGGCCCGCGUCCUAUCAGCUUGUUGGUGGGGUGAUGGCCUACCAAGGCGACGACGGGUAGCCGGCCUGAGAGGGUGACCGGCCACACUGGGACUGAGAUACGGCCCAGACUCCUACGGGAGGCAGCAGUGGGGAAUAUUGCACGAUGGGCGCAAGCCUGAUGCAGCGACGCCGCGUGAGGGAUGACGGCCUUCGGGUUGUAAACCUCUUUCAGCAUCGACGAAGCGAAAGUGACGGUAGGUGCAGAAGAAGGACCGGCCAACUACGUGCCAGCCGCCGCGGUAA
Molecule: ribosomal RNA, 478 nt
Filed under: uncultured bacterium
Lineage: Bacteria
Description: partial 16S ribosomal RNA
Rfam family: Bacterial small subunit ribosomal RNA
Source: RNAcentral